This 791-nucleotide ribosomal RNA is filed under the name uncultured archaeon. Its description in RNAcentral is "bacterial SSU rRNA". It matches the Rfam family "Archaeal small subunit ribosomal RNA", at positions 85 to 879 of the family's 1478-position model. The record is from RNAcentral.
ACGGCUCAGUAACACGUAGUCAACAUGCCCAGGGGACGUGGAUAACCUCGGGAAACUGAGGAUAAACCGCGAUAAGUCACUACUUCCGGAAUGGGUAAUGACUAAAAUCUACAUGGCCCCUGGAUUGGACUGCGGCCGAUCAGGCUGUUGGUGAGGUAAUGGCCCACCAAACCUGUAACCGGUACGGGCUCUGAGAGGAGGAGCCCGGAGAUGGGCACUGUGACAAGGGCCCAGGCCCUAUGGGGCGCAGCAGGCGCGAAACCUCUGCAAUAGGCGAAAGCCUGACAGGGUUACUCUGAGUGAUUUCUGUUAAGGAGAUCUUUUGGCACCUCUAAAAAUGGUGCAGAAUAAGGGGUGGGCAAGUCUGGUGUCAGCCGCCGCGGUAAUACCAGCACCCCGAGUGGUCGGGACGUUUAUUGGGCCUAAAGCAUCCGUAGCCGGUUCUACAAGUCUUCCGUUAAAUCCACCUGCUUAACUGAUGGGCUGCGGAAGAUACUAUAGAGCUAGGAGGCGGGAGAGGCAAGCGGUACUCGAUGGGUAGGGGUAAAAUCCGUUGAUCCAUUGAAGACCACCAGUGGCGAAGGCGGCUUGCCAGAACGCGCUCGACGGUGAGGGAUGAAAGCUGGGGGAGCAAACCGGAUUAGAUACCCGGGUAGUCCCAGCUGUAAACGAUGCAGACUCGGUGAUGAGUCGGCUUCUUGCCAACUCAGUGCCGCAGGGAAGCCGUUAAGUUUGCCGCCUGGGGAGUACGGUCGCAAGACUGAAACUUAAAGGAAUUGGCGGGGGAGCAC